CCCCAAGAAUAUGAAGGAAAGAUGAAGAAUAUUACUACUCCCUCGGAUGAAAGUAGGAAUGAGAGUAAAGCAUCUAAUGUAGACCCUGUAGGUGAACUGACGUUUUCCCUCCAGAGCUCCAAGAAGGAUAAUCAAAGCUCAUCAAUGCAACUGAGCUCAUUCAGUAAUGGAAAGUUCCGUGCUGACAAGCAUUAGACAAUGGGAAAGUAAGUUCAAGUCUAUGCCUCCCAAAACUUGGCUUAAGCUGGUCUAAUUCUGGGCUUUUCUUUUUCUUUUUUCUUUUUAAGAGUGAAUUCUUAUUGCACAUGCGCUGUGGAGGUGAAUAUGAUGUCAUUUUGGUAACUAUUACAAGAUUUAGAGGAAGAAGGAAUUGAACAAUA
Molecule: long non-coding RNA, 380 nt
Organism: Cornus florida
Lineage: Eukaryota; Viridiplantae; Streptophyta; Magnoliopsida; Cornales; Cornaceae
Exons: 2
Source: RefSeq, a predicted model, not a curated record